RNAcentral lists this ribosomal RNA (253 nucleotides) under uncultured bacterium. RNAcentral's name for it is "partial 16S ribosomal RNA". It matches the Rfam family "Bacterial small subunit ribosomal RNA", at positions 524 to 776 of the family's 1533-position model. The record is from RNAcentral.
UACGGAGGAUGCAAGCGUUAUCCGGAAUGAUUGGGCGUAAAGCGUCCGCAGGUGGCUGUGUAAGUCUGCUGUUAAAGAGUGAGGCUCAACCUCAUAAAGGCAGUGGAAACUACAUGGCUAGAGUGCGUUCGGGGCAGAGGGAAUUCCUGGUGUAGCGGUGAAAUGCGUAGAGAUCAGGAAGAACACCGGUGGCGAAAGCGCUCUGCUAGGCCGCAACUAACACUGAGGGACGAAAGCUAGGGGAGCGAAUGGG